UACGGAGGGUGCGAACGUUAAUCGGAAUCACUGGGCGUAAAGCGCGCGUAGGCGGUUUGUUAAGUGGGAUGUGAAAUCCCCGGGCUUAACCUGGGAAUUGCAUUUCAAACUGGCCGACUAGAGUACGGUAGAGGGAGGUAGAAUUUCCUGUGUGGCGGUGAAAUGCGUAGAUAUAGGAGGAACACCGGUGGCGAAGGCGGUUCUUGCUGGGCAUGUCCUGAC
Molecule: ribosomal RNA, 222 nt
Filed under: uncultured bacterium
Lineage: Bacteria
Description: partial 16S ribosomal RNA
Rfam family: Bacterial small subunit ribosomal RNA
Source: RNAcentral